Molecule: ribosomal RNA, 253 nt
Filed under: uncultured bacterium
Lineage: Bacteria
Description: partial 16S ribosomal RNA
Rfam family: Bacterial small subunit ribosomal RNA
Source: RNAcentral
UACGUAGGUGGCAAGCGUUAUCCGGAAUUAUUGGGCGUAAAGCGCGCGCAGGUGGUUUCUUAAGUCUGAUGUGAAAGCCCACGGCUCAACCGUGGAAGGUCAUUGGAAACUGAAAGGCUUGAGUACAGAAGAGGAAAGCGGAAUUCCACGUGUAGCGGUGAAAUUCGUAGAUAUCGAGAGGAACACCGGUGGCGAAGGCGGCCAACUGGACGAAUACUGACGCUGAGACACGAAAGCGUGGGGAGCAAACAGG